UACGGAGGGUGCAAGCGUUAUCCGGAUUCACUGGGUUUAAAGGGUGCGUAGGCGGAUAGGUAAGUCCGUGGUGAAAUCCUGCAGCUUAACUGCAGAACUGCCAUGGAUACUAUUUAUCUUGAAUGUCGUGGAGGUUAGCGGAAUAUGUCAUGUAGCGGUGAAAUGCUUAGAUAUGACAUAGAACACCCAUUGCGAAGGCAGCUAACUACGCGAUAAUUGACGCUGAUGCACGAAAGCGUGGGGAGCGAACAGG
This 253-nucleotide ribosomal RNA is filed under the name uncultured bacterium. RNAcentral describes it as "partial 16S ribosomal RNA". It matches the Rfam family "Bacterial small subunit ribosomal RNA", at positions 524 to 776 of the family's 1533-position model. The record is from RNAcentral.